RNAcentral lists this transfer RNA (73 nucleotides) under Candidatus Zhuqueibacterota bacterium. RNAcentral's name for it is "candidate division KSB1 bacterium tRNA-Thr". It matches the Rfam family "tRNA". Rfam says of the family: Transfer RNA (tRNA) molecules are approximately 80 nucleotides in length. Lineage: Bacteria; Pseudomonadati. The record is from RNAcentral.
GCCACCAUAGCUCAGCUGGUAGAGCGACUGAUUUGUAAUCAGUUGGUCGCGGGUUCAAUUCCUGCUGGUGGCU